AGUGAACGCUGGCGGUAGGCCUAACACAUGCAAGUCGAACGGCAGCACAGUAAGAGCUUGCUCUUACGGGUGGCGAGUGGCGGACGGGUGACGAAUACAUCGGAAUCUACUUUUUCUUGGGGGAUAACGUAGGGAAACUUACGCUAAUACCGCAUACGACCUACGGGUGAAAGCAGGAGAUCUUCGGACCUUGCGCGAUUGAAUGAGCCGAUGUCGGAUUAGCUAGUUGGCGGGGUAAAGGCACACCAAGGCAACGAUCCGUAGCUGGUCUGAGAGGAUGAUCAGCCACACUGGAACUGAGACACGGUCCAGACUCCUACGGGAGGCAGCAGUGGGGAAUCUUGGACAAUGGGCGCAAGCCUGAUCCAGCCAUACCGCGUGGGUGAAGAAGGCCUUCGGGUUGUAAAGCCCUUUUGUUGGGAAAGAAAAGCAGCAGGUUAAUACCCCGAUGUUCUGACGGUACCCAAAGAAUAAGCACCGGCUAACUUCGUG
RNAcentral lists this ribosomal RNA (492 nucleotides) under uncultured bacterium. Its description in RNAcentral is "partial 16S ribosomal RNA". It matches the Rfam family "Bacterial small subunit ribosomal RNA", at positions 29 to 507 of the family's 1533-position model. The record is from RNAcentral.